Molecule: ribosomal RNA, 373 nt
Filed under: uncultured organism
Description: partial 16S ribosomal RNA
Rfam family: Bacterial small subunit ribosomal RNA
Source: RNAcentral
GUAGGUGGCAAGCGUUGUCCGGAAUUAUUGGGCGUAAAGCGCGCGCAGGCGGUUCUUUAAGUCUGAUGUGAAAGCCCACGGGCUCAACCGUGGAGGGUCAUUGGAAACUGGAGAACUUGAGUACAGAAGAGGAAAGCGGAAUUCCACGUGUAGCGGUGAAAUGCGUAGAGAUGUGGAGGAACACCAGUGGCGAAGGCGGCUUUCUGGUCGGUAACUGACGCUGAGGCGCGAAAGCGUGGGGAGCAAACAGGAUUAGAUACCCUGGUAGUCCACGCCGUAAACGAUGAGUGCUAAGUGUUAGGGGGUUUCCGCCCCUUAGUGCUGCAGCUAACGCAUUAAGCACUCCGCCUGGGGAGUACGGCCGCAAAGGCUG